This 253-nucleotide ribosomal RNA is filed under the name uncultured bacterium. Its description in RNAcentral is "partial 16S ribosomal RNA". It matches the Rfam family "Bacterial small subunit ribosomal RNA", at positions 524 to 776 of the family's 1533-position model. The record is from RNAcentral.
UACGGGGGGAGCAAGCGUUGUUCGGAUUUACUGGGCGUAAAGGGCGCGUAGGCGGCGCAACAAGUCACUUGUGAAAUCUCCGGGCUUAACCCGGAGCGGCCAAGUGAUACUGUCGUGCUAGAGUGCGGAAGGGGCUACUGGAAUUCUCGGUGUAGCGGUGAAAUGCGUAGAUAUCGAGAGGAACACCUGCGGCGAAGGCGGGUAGCUGGGACGUUACUGACGCUGAGGCGCGAAAGCGUGGGGAGCGAACAGG